Molecule: ribosomal RNA, 703 nt
Filed under: Enterovibrio norvegicus FF-454
Lineage: Bacteria; Pseudomonadati; Pseudomonadota; Gammaproteobacteria; Vibrionales; Vibrionaceae
Description: bacterial LSU rRNA
Rfam family: Bacterial large subunit ribosomal RNA
Source: RNAcentral
GAAAGGCCAAUCAAACUCGGAGAUAGCUGGUUCUCCCCGAAAGCUAUUUAGGUAGCGCCUCGGACGAAUACUACUGGGGGUAGAGCACUGUUAAGGCUAGGGGGUCAUCCCGACUUACCAACCCUUUGCAAACUCCGAAUACCAGUAAGUACUAUCCGGGAGACACACGGCGGGUGCUAACGUCCGUCGUGGAGAGGGAAACAACCCAGACCGCCAGCUAAGGUCCCAAAGUUAUCGCUAAGUGGGAAACGAUGUGGGAAGGCUCAGACAGCCAGGAUGUUGGCUUAGAAGCAGCCAUCAUUUAAAGAAAGCGUAAUAGCUCACUGGUCGAGUCGGCCUGCGCGGAAGAUGUAACGGGGCUAAGCGAUACACCGAAGCUGCGGCAUCAACUCUUCGGAGUUGUUGGGUAGGGGAGCGUUCUGUAAGCCGUUGAAGGUGAACUGUAAGGUUUGCUGGAGGUAUCAGAAGUGCGAAUGCUGACAUGAGUAACGAUAAAGGGGGUGAAAAACCUCCUCGCCGGAAGACCAAGGGUUCCUGUCCAACGUUAAUCGGGGCAGGGUAAGUCGACCCCUAAGGCGAGGCCGAAAGGCGUAGUCGAUGGGAAACGGGUUAAUAUUCCCGUACUGCUUAUAACUGCGAUGGGGGGACGGAGAAGGCUAGGUGAGCUUGGCGACGGUUGUCCAAGUUCAAGUGCGUAGGUGGG